UUAGGAAUCUUGCGCAAUGGGCGAAAGCCUGACGCAGCGACGCCGCGUGGGGGAGGAAGGCCUUCGGGUUGUAAACCCCUUUUAUCCGGGAAGAAUACAAUUGACGGUACCGGGUGAAUAAGCCACGGCUAACUCCGUGCCAGCAGCCGCGGUAAUACGGAGGUGGCGAGCGUUGUCCGAAGUUACUGGGCGUAAAGCGCGCGUAGGCGGGCCCUUAAGUGAGGGGUGAAAGGCUGAGGCUCAACCUCAUGUUUGUCCUCUCAUACUGUGGGUCUUGAGUGAGGCAGGGAGAAGUGGAAUGGCUGGUGUAGCGGUGAAAUGCGUAGAUAUCAGUCGGAACACCGGUGGCGAAGGCGGCUUCUUGGGCCUUAACUGACGCUGAGGCGCGAAAGCUGGGGGAGCGAACGGG
RNAcentral lists this ribosomal RNA (409 nucleotides) under Bacillota bacterium. RNAcentral's name for it is "Firmicutes bacterium partial 16S ribosomal RNA". It matches the Rfam family "Bacterial small subunit ribosomal RNA", at positions 355 to 776 of the family's 1533-position model. The record is from RNAcentral. Lineage: Bacteria; Bacillati; Bacillota.